Non-coding RNA from Callithrix jacchus (white-tufted-ear marmoset), 1306 nucleotides. Lineage: Eukaryota; Metazoa; Chordata; Mammalia; Primates; Cebidae. The record is from RefSeq and is a predicted model, not a curated record.
AGAGAACAACACACACGGUUUCUCCAGUCAUGACCCAGUAGAGCAGCAAGAACCAUAUCUGGCAGCAACACAGGUCUUUACCAGGAGGGUGGGGUAAGAAAGAGCAGAGACUAACUUGUGAGCAACAGAGGAAAUGUCCAAACACUUCACCCAGCUUUAGUGGGAGUGCCUGAAGUGUGCAGACUCUUGGUGGCUGGGGUAAGCUGAGACAUGUUUGUCCACACAGGCAAGACACCACAUGUGGACCACAAAAGCAAUUGCCAACCUUCUCACUGGUUUUCAAACUACCAGUUUAGCAAGUAUCAUCCAGUCUCUUAAGAUGUCUGUCCAUCUAGUUCAUGGAAAACUGGAAGCUAUCAGCAGCCACCAGAUGUGUUUAGGAUCUUGAGAUGAGAAGACUUUCCUGAAAAAUGCAACCGUACUCAUCUAUUAUAAAAUAUGGAGACAAAGGGAUACUGACACACAUAAACACAGAGGAGAAGGUGAUAAGAAGAUGAAGAAGAGAGAGAUGAGAAGAGGCUAGCCUUGAAGAAGGAAGUGUUGUGGCACCUUGUUGCCAGCCAAGGAAUGCUGGCACCCAUCCAAAGCUAGAAGAGGCAAGGAAUAUAUUCUUCCCUGGAGCCUCAGGAAGGAGCUUGGUCCUGCUGACACCUCAAUUUCUCUGCCUAGUGAUAAUGAUUUUUGACUUCUGACCUUCAAAAGUGUAAGAGAAUAAAUGUGUUGCUUUAAGCCAUGGAUUUUGUGAUAAUUUAUUAUAGGAAACUAGGAUACGUUGGAUAGAUUUAACAUUUUUAUUUUCUGGAAUUUGUGCACUGAGCAAAAAAAGAUUCCUAUACUUGAAAAUGUUUAAUAUUAACAUAGAAGUAAAAAAUGUGUUUUUAUUUUUUAUCCACAUGUACUUGUUACAUUUUGGGAGGUUACAACACUUGCAAUAUUGUUUUACUUCCUUGAAAUGAGUAUAUUUAUAACUUUAGAGUGGAGUCUUCGGAAUAUCAAAAUUAGACUGUCUGCAUGUACUUGACUGUCUCCCAAAUUUGGAUGGUUUAAAAUAUGUUCGUUAUAAUUGCUGUGGUUUGUGGAGGUAAAACUGUACAUGGUUAAAUAUUCACAGUUGUGGGAACAUUGAGGCUUACCAAAAUUAUGUGCUUGUUUAUUGGGUUAACUCUCAGCUCUCCGUUCUUCUCUUUUUAUAAAUUAAUAAUAUUCUAUAUGUACUGGUGUUGCUUCUGCAUCAGUUCCUAAUUAUCUUUUCUUCAAAUUACCAAAAUAUAUUGACAUUGCCACAAUAAAAUAAAAAUCCAAUCCU